RNAcentral lists this ribosomal RNA (253 nucleotides) under uncultured bacterium. RNAcentral's name for it is "partial 16S ribosomal RNA". It matches the Rfam family "Bacterial small subunit ribosomal RNA", at positions 524 to 776 of the family's 1533-position model. The record is from RNAcentral.
UACGUAGGGUGCGAGCGUUGUCCGGAAUUAUUGGGCGUAAAGAGCUCGUAGGCGGCUUGUCGCGUCGACUGUGAAAUCUCAGGGCUCAACUCUGACAUUGCAGUCGAUACGGGCAGGCUAGAGUUCGGUAGGGGAGACUGGAAUUCCUGGUGUAGCGGUGGAAUGCGCAGAUAUCAGGAGGAACACCUGUGGCGAAAGCGGCGCACUGGACCACAACUGACGCUGAGGCGCGAAAGCUAGGGGAGCAAACAGG